AAAAAAGACACAGACGUGCAGAAGUUUAGAGCCUAACACUAGAAAAGGCUCUAACGAAUGUGAGUUUAUAUAUUCACUUAUUUCACCAAUCGCUCUAUUUAAAGACAUAUUACACUAUUAUCUGUAUAUGUUCUUUUUUCUUCUUUUUUAUGUACCAUAUUGUAUCAAGAGAAACGAUAAAGGGUAAGAGUUCCAAGAUCUAGUGAACACACUUACCUAAGCACUUAUAUAGCGCUGCACUCAUUUAAAGCACUUUAGAUUUGGGUGGUGGUAACAUCAUCCGGGUCAAAAAGUUUCUUUAUGUUCUGGUGAUUGUCUAUGUGUAGUGGGUAAUUAGGAGUACCCACAGAGUGUACACAGCAGCUGUACCAUAUUUCCUUUUGUUUAUAACACAAAGCGCCAUUUAUUCCACAUUUUUUCGUGUAUAUUCAAUACA
Molecule: non-coding RNA, 436 nt
Organism: Pelobates cultripes (western spadefoot toad)
Lineage: Eukaryota; Metazoa; Chordata; Amphibia; Anura; Pelobatidae
Source: the annotation of a GenBank genome assembly